Molecule: ribosomal RNA, 259 nt
Filed under: Pseudo-nitzschia pungens
Lineage: Eukaryota; Bacillariophyta; Bacillariophyceae; Bacillariales; Bacillariaceae
Description: partial Bacterial small subunit ribosomal RNA
Rfam family: Bacterial small subunit ribosomal RNA
Source: RNAcentral
UCAUAAAACCGGUCGUAGUCCGGAUUGGAGUCUGCAACUCGACUCCAUGAAGUCGGAAUCGCUAGUAAUCGUGGAUCAGAAUGCCACGGUGAAUACGUUCCCGGGCCUUGUACACACCGCCCGUCACACCAUGGGAGUGGGAUGCAAAAGAAGUAGGUAGCUUAACCUUCGGGAUGGCGCUUACCACUUUGUGUUUCAUGACUGGGGUGAAGUCGUAACAAGGUAGCCCUAGGGGAACCUGGGGCUGGAUCACCUCCUU